GCUCACCUUGUCCUGUGUGUUCCUUUCAGGGGAGAGGAAAGCAGCUUACCUGGCUGCCUGGAGGAAGGCCCAGCUGUACGGGGACUGGCGGAAGGAGCAGUUCCAGGCCUG
Molecule: long non-coding RNA, 111 nt
Organism: Tupaia belangeri chinensis (Chinese tree shrew)
Lineage: Eukaryota; Metazoa; Chordata; Mammalia; Scandentia; Tupaiidae
Exons: 3
Source: RefSeq, a predicted model, not a curated record